GACGAACGCUGGCGGCGUGCUUAACACAUGCAAGUCGAACGGAAAGGCCCUGCUUUUGUGGGGUGCUCGAGUGGCGAACGGGUGAGUAACACGUGAGUAACCUGCCCUUGACUUUGGGAUAACUUCAGGAAACUGGGGCUAAUACCGUAUAGGAGCUGCUGCUGCAUGGUGGGGGUUGGAAAUUUUCGGCGGGUGGGGAUGGACGCGCGGCUUAUCAGCUUGUUGGUGGGGUAGUGGCUUACCCAGGCUUUGACGGAUAGCCGGCCUGGGAGGGUGACCGGCGACAUUGGGACUGAGAGACGGACCAGACUCCUACGGGAGACAGCAGUGGGGAAUCUUGCACAAUGGGCGCAAGCCUGAUGCAGCAACGCCGCGGGCGGGAUGACGGCCUUCGGGUUGUAAACCGCUUUCGCCUGUGACGAAGCGUGAGUGACGGUAAUGGGUAAAGAAGCACCGGCUAACUACGUG
This 468-nucleotide ribosomal RNA is filed under the name uncultured bacterium. RNAcentral describes it as "partial 16S ribosomal RNA". It matches the Rfam family "Bacterial small subunit ribosomal RNA", at positions 28 to 507 of the family's 1533-position model. The record is from RNAcentral.